UUGAACGCUGGCGGCAGGCCUAACACAUGCAAGUCGAACGGUAACAGGAAGCAGCUUGCUGCUUCGCUGACGAGUGGCGGACGGGUGAGUAAUGUCUGGGAAGCUGCCUGAUGGAGUGGGAUAACUACUGGAAACGGUAGCUAAUACCGCAUAAUGUCGCAAGACCAAAGAGGGGGACCUUCGGGCCUCUUGCCAUCGGAUGUGCCCAGAUGGGAUUAGCUUGUUGGUGGGGUAACGGCUCACCAAGGCGACGAUCCCUAGCUGGUCUGAGAGGAUGACCAGCCACACUGGAACUGAGACACGGUCCAGACUCCUACGGGAGGCAGCAGUGGGGAAUAUUGCACAAUGGGCGCAAGCCUGAUGCAGCCAUGCCGCGUGUAUGAAGAAGGCCUUCGGGUUGUAAAGUACUUUCAGCGGGGAGGAAGGGAGUAAAGUUAAUACCUUUGCUCAUUGACGUUACCCGCAGAAGAAGCACCGGCUAACUCCGUG
Molecule: ribosomal RNA, 489 nt
Filed under: uncultured bacterium
Lineage: Bacteria
Description: partial 16S ribosomal RNA
Rfam family: Bacterial small subunit ribosomal RNA
Source: RNAcentral